UGUCUGUGGGAUAAAGGUUAGUCUUAGUGUUGCAAACUAACAUUUAAACCAAUGACAUU
Molecule: microRNA precursor, 59 nt
Filed under: Octopus vulgaris (common octopus)
Lineage: Eukaryota; Metazoa; Mollusca; Cephalopoda; Octopoda; Octopodidae
Description: Ovu-Mir-12516_pre stem-loop
Source: RNAcentral